This 162-nucleotide ribosomal RNA is filed under the name Boschia griffithii. RNAcentral's name for it is "Durio griffithii 5.8S ribosomal RNA". It matches the Rfam family "5.8S ribosomal RNA". From Rfam's summary of the family: 5.8S ribosomal RNA (5.8S rRNA) is a component of the large subunit of the eukaryotic ribosome. The record is from RNAcentral. Lineage: Eukaryota; Viridiplantae; Streptophyta; Magnoliopsida; Malvales; Malvaceae. RNAcentral also lists the same sequence under 2 other names.
AAACGACUCUCGGCAACGGAUAUCUCGGCUCUCGCAUCGAUGAAGAACGUAGCGAAAUGCGAUACUUGGUGUGAAUUGCAGAAUCCCGUGAACCAUCGAGUCUUUGAACGCAAGUUGCGCCCGAAGCCACUAGGCCAGGGCACGCCUGCCUGGGUGUCAUGC